Long non-coding RNA from Humulus lupulus (European hop), 434 nucleotides. RefSeq lists it as uncharacterized. NCBI's taxonomy places the organism in Eukaryota, Viridiplantae, Streptophyta, Magnoliopsida, Rosales, Cannabaceae. The record is from RefSeq and is a predicted model, not a curated record. The transcript is spliced from 5 exons.
UGGAGUGCAGGCUGUAAAGCAACUACUGAGGUUGAACGCUGAACACCCAGAUACACAUCGCUGUUUAAUUAAAUUCUUCCAUAAAGUGGACUCGAUGCCCACUCCAGUUACAGAUGCUGAGAACUCAUUUCGAGUGUCUUGGAAGCAGAACGCCCAACAAUAAGUAUUUUGCAUGAGAAAUCUCUGAUCGAGGCGAACAAGAUUUUCUUAGAGAAACAUAAAGAUUCCUUAAUGCACAGAGCUGCGGCUGCAGAACUACUGUAUGCUUUACAACCUGACAAGAAAGCUGAGGCUGUUAAGCUAAUUGAGGACGCAACAAACAAUCCGGUGCCAAGGAACCCAGCAGAUUGUAUUUAUCGAUCAAUCUGAGAAUGGAGAGCCUCGAUAAUUCAGCGACCGAGAAGAAAACUGGAAAAUGGAGAGCUCCUAUUUUU